This is a non-coding RNA of Salmo salar (Atlantic salmon), 170 nucleotides long. The record is from RefSeq and is a predicted model, not a curated record. Lineage: Eukaryota; Metazoa; Chordata; Actinopteri; Salmoniformes; Salmonidae.
UAACCUAGCUAACAGGGAUACUAGUAGGGGCUAACCUAGCUAACAGGGAUACUAGUAGGGGCUAACCUAGCUAACAGGUAUGCUAGUAGGGGCUAACAGGGAUUAAUGUAGAAGGUACAGAGAGACAUCAGCAGUACUGACAGGGUUAAUGUAGAAGGUACAGAGAGACA